GCCUACAAUCUAGCCUACAAAUUAUAUAUACCACUAUUCUCAAAUAAUUUUGAAAUAAAACAUUUUAACUUUUUAGUAUAGGUGAUAGAAAAAUAUCUAAGCGCUUCAGAAAUAGUACCGCAAGGGAAAGAUGAAAUAAAAAUGAAACAAAACUAAAGCCCCUAAUAGCAGAGACCAAAACUCGUACCUU
This 190-nucleotide ribosomal RNA is filed under the name Ghatixalus variabilis (green tree frog). RNAcentral describes it as "partial 16S ribosomal RNA". The record is from RNAcentral. Lineage: Eukaryota; Metazoa; Chordata; Amphibia; Anura; Rhacophoridae.